This 75-nucleotide transfer RNA is filed under the name Bacteroidales bacterium. Its description in RNAcentral is "tRNA-Glu". It matches the Rfam family "tRNA". Rfam says of the family: Transfer RNA (tRNA) molecules are approximately 80 nucleotides in length. Their secondary structure includes four short double-helical elements and three loops (D, anti-codon, and T loops). Further hydrogen bonds mediate the characteristic L-shaped molecular structure. tRNAs have two regions of fundamental functional importance: the anti-codon, which is responsible for specific mRNA codon recognition, and the 3' end, to which the tRNAs corresponding amino acid is attached (by aminoacyl-tRNA synthetases). tRNAs cope with the degeneracy of the genetic code in two manners: having more than one tRNA (with a specific anti-codon) for a particular amino acid; and 'wobble' base-pairing, i.e. permitting non-standard base-pairing at the 3rd anti-codon position. Lineage: Bacteria; Pseudomonadati; Bacteroidota; Bacteroidia; Bacteroidales. The record is from RNAcentral.
GGCCCCGUCUUCUAGUGGUUAGGAAAAUAGAUUCUCAGUCUAAAAACAUGAGUUCGAUUCUCAUCGGGGCUGCCA